Molecule: long non-coding RNA, 715 nt
Organism: Tyto alba (common barn owl)
Lineage: Eukaryota; Metazoa; Chordata; Aves; Strigiformes; Tytonidae
Exons: 3
Source: RefSeq, a predicted model, not a curated record
GGUGCCCGGGGGAAAGCGCAGCUGGGGAAGGGCCGCGCGCUGCCCGCGGGCGAGGGGAAAAGCCUCGGAAACGGCCCUGCGAGACCCGAGGGGAGAGCGGGAGGUGGGGAGGACGGGCUCCAGCCGCUCCCACACGUUCCCCCGGAGAGCCCUGGCCGGGGCGGGAUUUUUCAUCUUAUUUUCUCCCCGCAUCCCGCUGAAGAGGAGGAGUGAGGGAGUGGCUGGGUGGGUGUCUGGCAGCUGUCCAAGGUCAACCAUCACACGUGGAAAUAAAUCUUUGAGAGAAACUUUGAGUUGUGCAACUGAACCAGCAAAAGAAGUCUGAAGACAGGGCUCAUCAGCAAGCUGAUAGAGCAGCUAACUAGUAGCAUACUGUAUCAGAUAAGAAAGACUGUUAUUUUACUGUUCUUGUAAUGGUAAAGAAACAUUGGAGUACACACAGAAAUGUUAACUAAAUGUUUAUUUUGUCCACUUACUGUACAAAAUACCAUGUGAGUAGAGGUUAUCAAGUAUGGCAGUUAUGUUUCUCAGCUCCUACACUCCACCAAAACUUCUAGCAUAAGGAAAGGGGGAAGAAGGUGCUCACUAAUUUCUUUAGAAACAUCGAAAAAUGGACAGAGGAAAAAUGAUGCAAUUCUGAUGCUGAUGUAUAGGUGUUAUGGGUUGAGUGAGUGGUGUGUAUUUUUGGUGGCAGGGGAGGGGGCUAUUUGGGCGU